UAAGGAAUAUUGGUCAAUGGACGCAAGUCUGAACCAGCCAUGCCGCGUGAAGGAUGAAGGUCCUCUGGAUUGUAAACUUCUUUUAUCUGGGACGAAAACGGGAUUUUUAUCUCAAUUGACGGUACCAGAGGAAUAAGCACCGGCUAACUCCGUGCCAGCAGCCGCGGUAAUACGGAGGGUGCGAGCGUUAUCCGGAUUUACUGGGUUUAAAGGGUGCGUAGGUGGGCUUAUAAGUCAGUGGUGAAAUCUCCGAGCUUAACUUGGAAACUGCCGUUGAUACUACAAGGCUAGAGUGCAGCAGAGGGGAGUGGAAUUCCAUGUGUAGCAGUGAAAUGCGUAGAGAUGUGGAAGAACACCGAUGGCGAAGGCAGCUCCCUGGGUUGACACUGACGCUCAUGCACGAAAGCGUGGGGAGCAAACA
RNAcentral lists this ribosomal RNA (421 nucleotides) under uncultured bacterium. RNAcentral describes it as "bacterial SSU rRNA". It matches the Rfam family "Bacterial small subunit ribosomal RNA", at positions 355 to 774 of the family's 1533-position model. The record is from RNAcentral.